This 460-nucleotide ribosomal RNA is filed under the name uncultured bacterium. RNAcentral's name for it is "partial 16S ribosomal RNA". It matches the Rfam family "Bacterial small subunit ribosomal RNA", at positions 338 to 795 of the family's 1533-position model. The record is from RNAcentral.
CCUACGGGUGGCAGCAGUGAGGAAUAUUGGUCAAUGGGCGCGAGCCUGAACCAGCCAAGUCGCGUGAGGGAAGACUGCCCUACGGGUUGUAAACCUCUUUUGCCGGGGCGCAACGGGCGCCACGUGUGGCUCCACUGAGAGUACCCGGAGAAAACGCAUCGUCUAACUCCGUGCCAGCAGCCGCGGUAAUACGGGGGGUGCGAACGUUAUCCGGAGUUAUUGGGUUUAAAGGGUGCGGAGGCGGAGCGUUAAGUCAGUGGUCAAAUUGAGGGGCUCAACCCCUUCCCGCCAUUGAAACUGGAGCUCUUGAGUGGAAGAGAAGUAUGCGGAAUGCGUGGUGUAGCGGUGAAAUGCAUAGAUAUCACGCAGAACCCCGAUUGCGAAGGCAGCAUGCCGGCUUCCUACUGACGCUGAAGCACGAAAGCGUGGGGAUCGAACAGGAUUAGAUACCCUAGUAGUC